AUCUCCAUUAGAAAAUAGAAAAUGUGAAUAAAUCAUAUUUAUAGAAGAAUGAAAACCAAUGUGUAUCACUGCGAAGAAUGAAAUACCUUCCCCUAUUUGAUCGACUGAAAACAAUAACAUCAGCACCUAGUCGCAUGGUGCUUGUCUUGAAUCCAUUG
Molecule: long non-coding RNA, 158 nt
Organism: Hibiscus syriacus
Lineage: Eukaryota; Viridiplantae; Streptophyta; Magnoliopsida; Malvales; Malvaceae
Exons: 3
Source: RefSeq, a predicted model, not a curated record